Molecule: ribosomal RNA, 520 nt
Filed under: uncultured bacterium
Lineage: Bacteria
Description: bacterial SSU rRNA
Rfam family: Bacterial small subunit ribosomal RNA
Source: RNAcentral
CAGGACGAACGCUGGCGGCGUGCCUAAUACAUGCAAGUCGAACGGUCUUUCUAUGGAAGCUUGCUUCCACUGAGAAGAUAGUGGCGAACGGGUGAGUAACACGUGGGUAACCUGCCCAUAAGAGGGGGAUAACAUCCGGAAACGGGUGCUAAUACCGCAUAGUUUUCUUGAUCGCAUGAUCGGGAAAGGAAAGACGGCCUUUGUGCUGUCGCUUAUGGAUGGACCCGCGGCGUAUUAGUUAGUUGGUGAGGUAACGGCUCACCAAGACGAUGAUACGUAGCCGACCUGAGAGGGUGAUCGGCCACAUUGGGACUGAGACACGGCCCAAACUCCUACGGGAGGCAGCAGUAGGGAAUCUUCCGCAAUGGACGAAAGUCUGACGGAGCAACGCCGCGUGAGUGAAGAAAGGUUUUCGGAUCGUAAAACUCUGUUGUCAGAGAAGAACAAGUUGGAGAGUAACUGCUCCAGCCUUGACGGUAUCUGACCAGAAAGCCACGGCUAACUACGUGCCAGCCGCGGC